RNAcentral lists this ribosomal RNA (495 nucleotides) under uncultured bacterium. RNAcentral describes it as "partial 16S ribosomal RNA". It matches the Rfam family "Bacterial small subunit ribosomal RNA", at positions 28 to 507 of the family's 1533-position model. The record is from RNAcentral.
GAUGAACGCUGGCGGCGUGCCUAAUACAUGCAAGUCGAGCGAACGGACGAGAAGCUUGCUUCUCUGAUGUUAGCGGCGGACGGGUGAGUAACACGUGGAUAACCUACCUAUAAGACUGGGAUAACUUCGGGAAACCGGAGCUAAUACCGGAUAAUAUUUUGAACCGCAUGGUUCAAAAGUGAAAGACGGUCUUGCUGUCACUUAUAGAUGGAUCCGCGCUGCAUUAGCUAGUUGGUAAGGUAACGGCUUACCAAGGCAACGAUGCAUAGCCGACCUGAGGGUGAUCGGCCACACUGGAACUGAGACACGGUCCAGACUCCUACGGGAGGCAGCAGUAGGGAAUCUUCCGCAAUGGGCGAAAGCAUGACGGAGCAACGCCGCGUGAGUGAUGAAGGUCUUCGGAUCGUAAAACUCUGUUAUUAGGGAAGAACAUAUGUGUAAGUAACUGUGCACAUCUUGACGGUACCUAAUCAGAAAGCCACGGCUAACUACGUG